AGAGUUUGAUCCUGGCUCAGGACGAACGCUGGCGGCGUGCUUAACACAUGCAAGUCGAACGGCCCGCCCCAACAGAUACCUUCGGGUUGAAGAUGGGAUCCGGGCAGUGGCGGACGGGUGAGUAACGCGUGGGUAAUCUACCUCUUAACCGGGGAUAACUCACCGAAAGGUGGGCUAAUACCGGAUAAGCUUCUUAGAUCACAUGAUCAUAGAAGGAAAGGCGGCCUUAGUGCUGUCGAUAAGAGAUGAGCCCGCGUCCCAUUAGCAAGUUGGUGAGGUAACGGCUCACCAAAGCGAUGAUGGGUAGCCGGCCUGAGAGGGCGAUCGGCCACACUGGGACUGAGACACGGCCCAGACUCCUACGGGAGGCAGCAGUGGGGAAUCUUCUGCAAUGGGGGCAACCCUGACAGAGCAACGCCGCGUGGGUGAAGAAGUCUUUCGAGACGUAAAGCCCUGUCAUAAGGGAAGAAAUCAUGGAAGUUUAAGAGACAUCCGUGCAGACGGUACCUUAUAAGAAAGCUCCGGCUAACUACGUACCAGCAGCCGCGGUAAUACGUAGGGAGCGAGCGUUGUCCGGAAUCACUGGGCGUAAAGGGCACGCAGGCGGUUCGAUAAGUCAAAUGUGAAAUACACUGGCUUAACCAGUGGGCUGCGUUUGAAACUAUCGAACUAGAGGGCAGAAGAGGAGAGUGGAAUUCCUAGUGUAGCGGUGAAAUGCGUAGAUAUUAGGAAGAAUACCAGUAGCGAAGGCGACUCUCUGGGCUGACCCUGACGCUGAGGUGCGAAAGCGUGGGUAUCAAACGGGAUUAGAUACCCCGGUAGUCCACGCUGUAAACGCUGGAUAUUAGGUGUUGUGGGUUAAACUCCCGCAGUGCCGUAAGUUAACGCGUUAAAUAUCCCGCCUGGGGACUACGAUCGCAAGAUUGAAACUCAAAGGAAUUGACGGGGGCCCGCACAAGCGGCGGAGCAUGUGGCUUAAUUCGAAGCAACGCGAAGAACCUUACCAGGGUUUGACAUCCCGUGACCAUCUACGAAAGUAGAGUAUCCCUUCGGGGACACGGAGACAGGUGGUGCAUGGUUGUCGUCAGCUCGUGUCGUGAGAUGUGGGUUAAGUCCCGUAACGAGCGCAACCCUUAUCCUUAGUUGCCUGCGAGUAUGUCGGGGACUCUAGGGAGACUGCCGGUGAAGAAAACCGGAGGAAGGUGGGGAUGACGUCAAAUCAUCAUGCCCUUUAUACUCUGGGCUACACACGUGCUACAAUGGGCUGCACAGAGGGUAGCAAGACCGCGAGGUCAAGCGAAUCCCACAAAGCAGUUCUCAGUUCGGAUUGCAGGCUGCAACUCGCCUGCAUGAAGCUGGAAUCGCUAGUAAUCGCAGGUCAGCAUACUGCGGUGAAUACGUUCCCGGGCCUUGUACACACCGCCCGUCACACCACCCGAGUUGGAUGCACCAGAAGUCGCUGUCUCAACUUAGUGAGAGCCGGCGCCAAAGGUGUG
RNAcentral lists this ribosomal RNA (1496 nucleotides) under uncultured Halothermothrix sp. Its description in RNAcentral is "16S ribosomal RNA". It matches the Rfam family "Bacterial small subunit ribosomal RNA". The record is from RNAcentral. Lineage: Bacteria; Bacillati; Bacillota; Clostridia; Halanaerobiales; Halothermotrichaceae.